Long non-coding RNA from Nilaparvata lugens (brown planthopper), 475 nucleotides. RefSeq lists it as uncharacterized. Lineage: Eukaryota; Metazoa; Arthropoda; Insecta; Hemiptera; Delphacidae. The record is from RefSeq and is a predicted model, not a curated record. The transcript has 2 exons.
AAUUCAAGUUCAGCCUUGCGGUUUGUUUGUUGACAAAGAACAUGACUUCUUGGCGGCUUCACCUGACGGACUGGUCGGAGGUGAUAAACUGAUUGAGGUGAAAUGUCCGAAGUCAGCUGAAAACCUCACUAUCAGCGAAGCCGUGAUCAAAGUGAAAUCAUUCUGCUUGGAAAAACUACGUUGUGGAAACGUCCGUCUCAAGAAAAACCACAAUUAUUAUUACCAGGUGCAAGGGCAACUACAUGUAGCUGAGAAAAAAUCUGUUAUUUUGUAGUAUGGACAAAAAAGAUAUCCAUAUUGAAAAGAUCGAGAGGGGUGUUGGUUUUGGACCGAGAAGAUGGAGAAAAAAUUAAUUUAUUUCUACCAUCACGCCUUGUUGCCAGAGAUACUGGAUCCUCGAACUUGUCGAAGUAUGGCAAUCAGGGAGCCAUCAAUCCCUUUUUCUCAUUUUUAAAUAAAGUCUCAUUGAAAAUUA